UACGUAGGGUGCAAGCGUUAAUCGGAAUUACUGGGCGUAAAGAGUGCGCAGGCGGUUUUGCAAGACCGAUGUGAAAUCCCCGGGCUUAACCUGGGAACUGCAUUGGUGACUGCAAGGCUAGAGUGUGUCAGAGGGAGGUGGAAUUCCGCAUGUAGCAGUGAAAUGCGUAGAUAUGCGGAGGAACACCGAUGGCGAAGGCAGCCUCCUGGGAUAACACUGACGCUCAUGCACGAAAGCGUGGGGAGCAAACAGGAUUAGAUACCCUGGUAGUCCACGCCCUAAACGAUGUCUACUAGUUGUCGGGGAUUAAUUUCCCUUGGUAACGCAGCUAACGCGUGAAGUAGACCGCCUGGGGAGUACGGCCGCAAGGUUAAAACUC
Molecule: ribosomal RNA, 379 nt
Filed under: uncultured Burkholderiaceae bacterium
Lineage: Bacteria; Pseudomonadati; Pseudomonadota; Betaproteobacteria; Burkholderiales; Burkholderiaceae
Description: bacterial SSU rRNA
Rfam family: Bacterial small subunit ribosomal RNA
Source: RNAcentral